This 478-nucleotide ribosomal RNA is filed under the name uncultured bacterium. Its description in RNAcentral is "partial 16S ribosomal RNA". It matches the Rfam family "Bacterial small subunit ribosomal RNA", at positions 28 to 507 of the family's 1533-position model. The record is from RNAcentral.
GAUGAACGCUGGCGGCGUGCUUAACACAUGCAAGUCGAACGAGAAGUGAAGACGGAAACCUUCGGGCGGAAGGCUUUAUUUCGAGUGGCGGACGGGUGAGUAACGCGUGGGUAACCUGCCUCAUACAGGGGGAUAACAGUUGGAAACGACUGUUAAUACCGCAUAAGACCACAGCACCGCAUGGUGCGGGGGUAAAAACACCGGUGGUAUGAGAUGGACCCGCGUUCGAUUAGCCAGUUGGCGGGGUAACGGCCCACCAAAGCGACGAUCGAUAGCCGAUCUGAGAGGAUGACCGGCCACAUUGGGACUGAGACACGGCCCAAACUCCUACGGGAGGCAGCAGUGGGGAAUAUUGCACAAUGGGGGAAACCCUGAUGCAGCGACGCCGCGUGAGUGAAGAAGUAUUUCGGUAUGUAAAGCUCUAUCAGCAGGGAAGAAAAUGACGGUACCUGAGUAAGAAGCCCCGGCUAACUACGUG